Molecule: long non-coding RNA, 665 nt
Filed under: Amborella trichopoda
Lineage: Eukaryota; Viridiplantae; Streptophyta; Magnoliopsida; Amborellales; Amborellaceae
Description: long non-coding RNA (ATRI_LNC003887)
Source: RNAcentral
GACUGUUCGAAGUAAAGGAGAGAGAUACCUCUAUUUAUUGAAGCAAAUAUUGAGAGAGAGACACCUCUAUUUAUUGAAUCAAAUAUACAAAAAAUGAAUCAUCCACCCCCAAGACACAUCAAAAUUUGUUAUUACAUCAGCCAGCAAAUCCAGAUGAAGCUGCCAAAUGAGUCUUCAUGCCUCUUAUCGAUUGAAGAGGGCAAAGAAGGAGAGGAGAGAAGUGGCAAAAAUGGCAGCAAGAGCAGGUGACACAAAAUUCGAUCCACUCUGCAUGGUGGGUGAGGGGGCCAUGGCCUCUUCUUUUGCCCCCACCAAAGCCACAAUCAAUAGAAGAGAAGCCAUGAAAGUGAGCUUGAGAGGUGCCAUUGUUGGUUUGUGCAGAUAAAUGUAAUAGACCUCUCUCCCCUGUUAAAAAUGAGAGCUUUAUGAAAGAGGGGAAAGAAAGAGGCUCCUGCUGUUGAGGAAGAAAAAGAGAUUCUAUUGUUGACGAAGAAAAGAGCCAUGGGUUUAUAUAUUUGAGAGAAGGAAGUGUGGGGGCAAUAAUGUGUGGAUACAACUGGGCAGAUGCCCCGCCACAUGGAAUGACUGGGCUGGUUUUAUGUUGGAAACUGAUUUGUUAGCCUCAUACAUUCAGCCAAUUAUCAUAUCACAUAUGUCAAACCUAU